RNAcentral lists this ribosomal RNA (437 nucleotides) under uncultured bacterium. RNAcentral's name for it is "bacterial SSU rRNA". It matches the Rfam family "Bacterial small subunit ribosomal RNA", at positions 917 to 1345 of the family's 1533-position model. The record is from RNAcentral.
GGACCCGCACAAGCGGUGGAACAUGUGGUUUAAUUCGAUGAUACGCGAAGAACCUUACCUGGGUUUGACAUGUUAGUGAAAGUUUUCUGAAAAGAAUUCCCUUUAAGAGCUUGCUCUUAAACACUAUCACAGGUGGUGCAUGGCUGUCGUCAGCUCGUGUCGUGAGAUGUUAGGUUAAGUCCUGCAACGAGCGCAACCCUCACUUUUAGUUGCCAUCAUUUAGUUGGGCACUCUGAAAGAACUGCCAGUGAUAAGCUGGAGGAAGGUGGGGAUGACGUCAAGUCCUCAUGGCCCUUACGUGUUGGGCUACACACGUGCUACAAUGGUAUCUACAACAGGAAGCAAGACUGCGAGGUCAAGCAAAUCCUUAAAAGAUACCUCAGUUCGGAUUGCACUCUGCAACUCGAGUGCAUGAAGCUGGAAUUACUAGUAAUCGU